GACGAACGCUGGCGGCGUGCCUAAUACAUGCAAGUUGAGCGCUGAAGGUUGGUACUUGUACCAACUGGAUGAGCAGCGAACGGGUGAGUAACGCGUGGGGAAUCUGCCUUUGAGCGGGGGACAACAUUUGGAAACGAAUGCUAAUACCGCAUAAAAACUUUAAACACAAGUUUUAAGUUUGAAAGAUGCAAUUGCAUCACUCAAAGAUGAUCCCGCGUUGUAUUAGCUAGUUGGUGAGGUAAAGGCUCACCAAGGCGAUGAUACAUAGCCGACCUGAGAGGGUGAUCGGCCACAUUGGGACUGAGACACGGCCCAAACGCCUGCGGGAGGCAGCAGUAGGGAAUCUUCGGCAAUGGACGAAAGUCUGACCGAGCAACGCCGCGUGAGUGAAGAAGGUUUUCGGAUCGUAAAACUCUGUUGGUAGAGAAGAACGUUGGUGAGAGUGGAAAGCUCAUCAAGUGACGGUAACUACCCAGAAAGGGACGGCUAACUACGUG
This 497-nucleotide ribosomal RNA is filed under the name uncultured bacterium. Its description in RNAcentral is "partial 16S ribosomal RNA". It matches the Rfam family "Bacterial small subunit ribosomal RNA", at positions 28 to 507 of the family's 1533-position model. The record is from RNAcentral.